Molecule: long non-coding RNA, 452 nt
Organism: Manis pentadactyla (Chinese pangolin)
Lineage: Eukaryota; Metazoa; Chordata; Mammalia; Pholidota; Manidae
Exons: 3
Source: RefSeq, a predicted model, not a curated record
UGAAGCCUUGUGAGUUUGACCAAAACCCAAACCUGAACUCCACAUACUGGACUUCUGAAGUUUCUACUUAAAGGCAUUUUAGAAAUCACAGUAAAGACUACAUGUAUCUAUAUUUGGACACUUGCCUGUGGAAGCCAGUGGCCAUUCUAGCUGAACCUGCCAGUUCUCUGCGGUGUCAUCACACUCGAGCAGCAUUGUGUCACCAUCAUCGACACUGCUAACACCGUGUCCCAGCUGAUCGUCAAGGUGUGGGCCUUGCCAGGAGCCCCGUGAAAACGAAGAUGCUGGGAACUGUCCAUCUGGUUCGCCAACCACGUGGCCUAAGAACCUACGGCUUCCACAAGCUCCUCGGGCACUUUUGCUGCAAACAGAAGUCAAGAGCCACUGUCCCAGGCAGCGGAGCAGGACCUGAAAGGGGUCCUGAAUUUAGGCGCCUGCCGUAUUCGUUAGUC